This 620-nucleotide unclassified non-coding RNA is filed under the name Hevea brasiliensis (rubber tree). Lineage: Eukaryota; Viridiplantae; Streptophyta; Magnoliopsida; Malpighiales; Euphorbiaceae. The record is from RNAcentral.
CAGCCACCACAUAAUCUAUAACCUCUGUUGCAAUAUUGUGGAAGGACAUAAGAAGGGGCAUAAGGAGGACAUCCAAAUGGAUUAAGGCUAUCAUGAAGUGCUCUAACUAGUGCUUCAUCAUUAUCUGUUUGGCAACUAUAUCCUGGAAAAGGGUCAAUUUUCAACACAAGCCCAAAGACAACACAGUGUGAACUUAAAAUAAACAGAACCUGAUAGGUAUAAAAACUUAAAACCUGGUCUCUUCCAAUCGUCAGCUUGAGAAAGUGCAAGAGCAUGAUCUGCUUCCUCUUUCUUCUUAUCGGCUCUAGCGCGCUCAUCCAAUGAUCUAGCUGGUGGCCGCCAGCUGGCCAUGUUUUCCUCCCCGCGAAACUGUCGGUGACGGCCGCCUCCACCCCCAACACCACCUCCUCGACUAGACCCACUUUUGAAAAUCUUACUGAGCCAUUUCAUUAACCGAGAUUUUCUCUCUGCGUAAGAAGAAACAAAGUCCCAUAAAUGCAAGGAUUCGAGAUAUGAUUGACACCUGAAGACGAGGAAGAAGAAGAUGGAGGAACCAUAGGAAUGGAAAGAAAGCUAUUUGUAUGUAUAAAAUCGGCUGAAAUAUGAUGAAAUCAAAGGAA